This 478-nucleotide ribosomal RNA is filed under the name Levisquilla inermis. RNAcentral's name for it is "partial large subunit ribosomal RNA". It matches the Rfam family "Bacterial large subunit ribosomal RNA", at positions 1808 to 2538 of the family's 2925-position model. The record is from RNAcentral. Lineage: Eukaryota; Metazoa; Arthropoda; Malacostraca; Stomatopoda; Squillidae.
CAAAAACAUGUCCAUAUGUUUAAGUUUUAUAUGGUCUGGCCUGCCCACUGAUAUUUAAAAUUAAAGGGCCGCGGUAUUUUGACCGUGCGAAGGUAGCAUAAUAAUUAGUCUCCUAAUUAGAGGCUUGUAUGAAUGGUCGGACAAGAUGGAAACUGUCUCAAUACAAUAAAUAAAAUUUAAUAUUUAAGUAAAAAAGCUUAAAUAACGUGGAGUGACGAUAAGACCCUAUAAAGCUUUAUAAUAUCUUUCUUUUAUAUAAAUUAUUUCGUUAUUAACAUAUCUUAGUGUAGAUAUUAUUUUACUGGGGCGGUAAAAGUAUAUUAGAAGAAUAACUGCUUUUAUUUUGCAUAACAAUUGUAGUUGGAAAUAAAUUGAUCCAUUAUUAAUGAUUAUAAAAACAAGUUACUUUAGGGAUAACAGCGUAAUUUUUUUUGAGAGUUCUUAUCGAAAAAAAAGUUUGCGACCUCGAUGUUGAAUU